RNAcentral lists this non-coding RNA (28 nucleotides) under Mus musculus (house mouse). The record is from RNAcentral. Lineage: Eukaryota; Metazoa; Chordata; Mammalia; Rodentia; Muridae.
UAACCACCUUGUCUCUCCUAGUUUGGGC